UGAGUUGAUACUUAGAAGAUGGCCAUCUUGGGGUUCCCUCGGGAAAAUCAUAGUGUGAAACCAUGUGGAACAUUUUCGACUUGUGGUGGCUGCUGCUGGUUGGUAUUGAUGAGGAUGUGACAUUGGUGAUAUCAGGUACUCCACAUCUUGGGAUCAUCAUAUUCUUGAUUGUAGCAGAAUCAAGAUACCCAGUGACCUGUAGCUGAUAAAAUUUUUGGUAAGUUUUGAGUGCAGACUCCAAAAGGUCAUCGAAAUCGUCAGUUAGAUUAUUGGUAUCAUCACUUGGGUAGUAUCCAAAUUUCCU
Molecule: unclassified non-coding RNA, 304 nt
Filed under: Hevea brasiliensis (rubber tree)
Lineage: Eukaryota; Viridiplantae; Streptophyta; Magnoliopsida; Malpighiales; Euphorbiaceae
Source: RNAcentral